Molecule: ribosomal RNA, 490 nt
Filed under: uncultured bacterium
Lineage: Bacteria
Description: partial 16S ribosomal RNA
Rfam family: Bacterial small subunit ribosomal RNA
Source: RNAcentral
AUUGAACGCUGGUGGCAUGCUUUACACAUGCAAGUCGAACGGCAGCGGGGUAGUGCUUGCACUACUGCCGGCGAGUGGCGAACGGGUGAGUAAUAUAUCGGAACGUACCGAGUAAUGGGGGAUAACCAAUCGAAAGAUUGGCUAAUACCGCAUACGUCCUGAGGGAGAAAGCGGGGGAUCGCAAGACCUCGCGUUAUUCGAGCGGCCGAUAACUGAUUGGCUAGUUGGUGGGGUAAAGGCCUACCAAGGCGACGAUCAGUAGCGGGUCUGAGAGGACGAUCCGCCACACUGGGACUGAGACACGGCCCAGACUCCUACGGGAGGCAGCAGUGGGGAAUUUUGGACAAUGGGGGCAACCCUGAUCCAGCCAUGCCGCGUGUAUGAAGAAGGCCUUCGGGUUGUAAAGUACUUUUGUUAGGGAAGAAAAGGGAAGUGCUAAUACCACUUUUUGCUGACGGUACCUAAAGAAUAAGCACCGGCUAACUACGUG